RNAcentral lists this ribosomal RNA (253 nucleotides) under uncultured bacterium. Its description in RNAcentral is "partial 16S ribosomal RNA". It matches the Rfam family "Bacterial small subunit ribosomal RNA", at positions 524 to 776 of the family's 1533-position model. The record is from RNAcentral.
UACAGAGGUCCCGAGCGUUGUUCGGAUUCACUGGGCGUAAAGGGUGCGCAGGUGGCUUGGCAAGUUUGAUGUGAAAGCUCAGGGCUUAACCCUGAAAUGGCAUUGAAUACUGUUGAGCUGGAGGUUUGGAGGGGGGACUGGAAUUCUUGGUGUAGCAGUGAAAUGCGUAGAUAUCAAGAGGAACACCAGUGGCGAAGGCGAGUCCCUGGACAACACCUGACACUGAGGCACGAAGGUCAGGGGAGCAAACGGG